RNAcentral lists this ribosomal RNA (446 nucleotides) under uncultured bacterium. RNAcentral describes it as "bacterial SSU rRNA". It matches the Rfam family "Bacterial small subunit ribosomal RNA", at positions 329 to 792 of the family's 1533-position model. The record is from RNAcentral.
UUCCAGACUCCUACGGGAGGCAGCAGUGGGGAAUAUUGCACAAUGGGGGAAACCCUGAUGCAGCGACGCCGCGUGAGUGAAGAAGUAUUUCGGUAUGUAAAGCUCUCUCAGCAGGGAAGAUAAUGACGGUACCUGAGUAAGAAGCCCCGGCUAACUACGUGCCAGCAGCCGCGGUAAUACGUAGGGGGCAAGCGUUAUCCGGAUUUACUGGGUGUAAAGGGAGCGUAGACGGCAUGGCAAGUCUGAAGUGAAAGCCCGGGGCUCAACCGCGGGACUGCUUUGGAAACUGUUAAGCUGGAGUGCAGGAGAGGUAAGUGGAAUUCCUAGUGUAGCGGUGAAAUGCGUAGAUAUUAGGAGGAACACCAGUGGCGAAGGCGGCUUACUGGACUGUAACUGACGUUGAGGCUCGAAAGCGUGGGGAGCAAACAGGAUUAGAUACCCGCGUA